GGCCCCAUGCAAGUCCAAAAUCCAGCAGGGCAGUCAAACUUAAAGCUCCAAAAUUAUCUCCUUUGACUCCAUGUCUUGCAUCUGGGUCAUGCUGAAUUUCUUCUGCCAGAUACCCUAAAUCAUCUCUGUCAAGUUCAAAGUUCCACAAAUAUCUUAGGCAGGGGCAAAAAGCUGCCAGCCUCUUGGCUAAAACAUAACAGGAGUCACCAUUUCUCUAAUUCCCGACAAGCUCCUCAUCUCCAUCUGAGACCACCUCAGCCUGGAUUUCAUUGUCCAUAUCAUGAUCAGCAUUUUGGUCAAAGGCAUUCAACAAGUCUCUAGGGAGUUCCAAGCUUUCCCAUAUUUUCCCGUCUUCUUCUGAGCCCUCCAAACUGUUCCAACCUCUGCCUGUUAGUCAGUUCCAAAGUUGAUUCCACAUUUUUGGGUAUCUCUUCAGCAGUGCCCCACUCUACUGGUGCCAGUUUACUGUAUUAGUUCAUUUUCACACUGCUGAUAAAGACAUACCUGAUACUGGGUAAUUUAUAUGGGAAAGAUGUUUAAUGGACUUACAGUUCCACAUGGCUGGGGAGGCCUCACAAUCAUGGUGGAAGGCAAGGAGGAGCAAGUCACAUCUUACGUGGAUGGUGGCAGGCAAAAAGAAAGCUUGUUCAGGGAAACUCCCAUUUUUAAAGCCAUCAGGUCUUGUGAGACUCAUUCACUGUCACGAGAACAGUGCAGGAAAGGCCUGCCCCCAUGAUUCAUUCACCUUUUACUGGGCUCCUCCCGUGACCUGUGG
This 775-nucleotide long non-coding RNA is filed under the name Homo sapiens (human). RNAcentral's name for it is "non-protein coding lnc-SLC9C2-3:1". Lineage: Eukaryota; Metazoa; Chordata; Mammalia; Primates; Hominidae. The record is from RNAcentral.